This 229-nucleotide unclassified non-coding RNA is filed under the name uncultured fungus. RNAcentral describes it as "partial contains 5.8S ribosomal RNA, internal transcribed spacer 2, and large subunit ribosomal RNA". Lineage: Eukaryota; Fungi. The record is from RNAcentral.
AACGCAACUUGCGCCUCUUUGAGGCAUGUUUGUUUGAGUGCCGCAAAACCCCUUUUACACUAACGUGUAAGUGUUGACCUCUGCCGUUUGGCUCUGGUUUAAAUGUAGCCAGUUAAUGGUACUAGUUGAACUAGACCGAGUGCUAAGCAUUCUUGGUGUAGUCAAUUGGGAUCAUCCUAUGCAUUUUAUUUUUGGCCUCAAAUCAAGCAAGAUUACCCGCUGAACUUAA